RNAcentral lists this ribosomal RNA (254 nucleotides) under uncultured bacterium. Its description in RNAcentral is "partial 16S ribosomal RNA". It matches the Rfam family "Bacterial small subunit ribosomal RNA", at positions 524 to 776 of the family's 1533-position model. The record is from RNAcentral.
UACGUAGGGUGCGAGCGUUGUCCGGAAUUAUUGGGCGUAAAGAGCUCGUAGGCGGUGUGUCGCGUCGGCCGUGAAAACCUGGGGCUUAACUCUGGGCGUGCGGUCGAUACGGGCAUCACUAGAGUUCGGCAGGGGAGACUGGAAUUCCUGGUGUAGCGGUGAAAUGCGCAGAUAUCAGGAGGAACACCGGUGGCGAAGGCAGGUCUCUGGGCAUUAACUGACGCUGAGGAGCGAAAGCAUGGGGAGCGAACAGG